CCUACGGGAGGCAGCAGUGGGGAAUAUUGGGCAAUGGGCGAAACCCUGACCCAGCAACGCCGCGUGAAGGAAGAAGGAUUUCGGGUUGUAAACUUCUAUUAAGGGGGAAGAGGAGAAGACGGUACCCCUUGAAUAAGCCACGGCUAACUACGUGCCAGCAGCCGCGGUAAUAUGUAGGUGGCAAGCGUUGUCCGGAUUUACUGGGUGUAAAGGGCGUGCAGCCGGGAGAACAAGUCAGAUGUGAAAUCCCGCGGCUCAACCGCGGAACUGCAUUUGAAACUGUUUUUCGUGAGUACCGGAGAGGUCAUCGGAAUUCCUUGUGUAGCGGUGAAAUGCGUAGAUAUAAGGAAGAACACCAGUGGCGAAGGCGGAUGACUGGACGGCAACUGACGGUGAGGCGCGAAAGCGUGGGGAGCAAACAGGAUUAGAUACCCGUGUAGUC
RNAcentral lists this ribosomal RNA (442 nucleotides) under uncultured bacterium. Its description in RNAcentral is "partial 16S ribosomal RNA". It matches the Rfam family "Bacterial small subunit ribosomal RNA", at positions 338 to 795 of the family's 1533-position model. The record is from RNAcentral.